Molecule: ribosomal RNA, 254 nt
Filed under: uncultured bacterium
Lineage: Bacteria
Also listed under: 1 other name
Description: partial 16S ribosomal RNA
Rfam family: Bacterial small subunit ribosomal RNA
Source: RNAcentral
GACGAACCGUGCGAACGUUAUUCGGAAUCACUGGGCUUAAAGCGCGUGUAGGCGGGCCGCCACGUCAGUCGCUGAAAUCCCCCGGCUCAACCGGGGAAGUGGCACUGAUACGAGCGGCCUGGAGGGAGGUAGGGGGGGCUGGAACUUCCGGUGGAGCGGUGAAAUGCGUUGAGAUCGGAAGGAACGCCCGUGGCGAAAGCGAGCCCCUGGACCUUUUCUGACGCUGAGACGCGAAAGCUAGGGGAGCGAACGGG